RNAcentral lists this long non-coding RNA (8247 nucleotides) under Setaria italica (foxtail millet). RNAcentral's name for it is "long non-coding RNA (SITA_LNC006324)". Lineage: Eukaryota; Viridiplantae; Streptophyta; Magnoliopsida; Poales; Poaceae. The record is from RNAcentral.
GCUUCAAGCUCUCAGAGGCAGAGCUUGAGAAAACCCAUGACUUCGUAUUCAAAGGCCUGCUCGCCGGGGACGAGCAGCAGGCCUUCAGGGUCAUUGAGGAAGAACUUGUUUUUGUCCAUGACAUGUAUUACACAAGGUACUCUUACCUCUACCAAAAGGGUCGAUACCUGGCUCUUUGUCUGCCUGUCAUCAUGUCUGCCCUAUGCUCGUGGCUCGCAGUGGCCAGCCUGCACAUCAAGCGUACGGACGACCCCUAUCUCAGUAGUCGUCUCAACCGCACUCUGCUGUCUGGCACCAUAGUCAUACCGGUUGUCGUGGCAUUCCUGGAGGCAUACCAGACGUACCUGUACAUGGCCUCAGGUUGGUUCAAGGUGGCUUUGAUACGGAGCUACGUCACCGCACCAUUUUUGCAAACAAGCUGUUGUUCUGAGAUGAUCAUACGUCUUCUCUUGAUGUUGAAGGCGUUUCGCCCAUGGAAGGGCAGACUCGGGCAGUACUGUUUCCUCGAGAGUCUUUGCCGCAAAAGUAAGAUUAUGAAUUGUCUCCAUUAUGCUACACUACGCCUGGUGGACAAGGCCGUGAAGGGGCGCAUGGAAUCAGUAAAGCUGUCCGGAAAUGUGAAGAAAGCCAUCAUUGAUUCCCUACUAGGAAGCAACGGAAACCUGACGAACGGGGUAACAUCGCUACAAAGAAAUGGCGUCCAUGGUGACCUUUCGUGGGCAUGUGAUGCUACUGCUACCGAUGGAGCGGUGAGUCGCACCAUUCUGGUCUGGCACAUUGCUACAACACUGUGUGAGCACCAGCUGGAUAAACAAGGAAAACAAGCAGAGGCGGUUAGAACAGCCUCCACUUUAUCUAAGUACUGCAUGCAACUGCUCGCUUUCGCACCUAACCUCUUACCUGACCACAGCUCUAUAUCGGAAGCCAUACUUGAUGAGUCAAUUGAUAAUGGAGGCGACCCUCGGUGGCAGGGAUUACGAAAGCUACUCGAAGGGUCCAAUGAUCUGGAGAGCAGGUGUAAGGAAUUAUUGAUGUUUAACAUUGAUAAUGGUGAUGGUGGUGAAGCACCGCUUGUUGCACAGGGCGCUCGGCUUGCAAGGCAGAUUGAAGGCAUACAUGACUCGAAAUUGCGGUGGAAGGUCCUCUCUGAUUUCUGGGCGGAGAUGAUGCUGUAUGUCUCGCCGUCUGACGAUGCCCGGACACACCUGGAAGUUCUUCCAAGAGGAGGGGAGUUCAUCACGCACCUUUGGGCGCUGCUCACGCAUGCCGGUGUGCUGAAGCGAGGCCCUACAGAGCCAAAGGAUGUUGUGUGAUCUGUUCAACCAGUGCACAAGUAACACUCCAUAUAUCAACCUAGUGCUUGUAAGUUGUAACAUCCUAUGUAUAUUGCCUACAGUCAUGUAUACCAUGUGUGAGUUAGUCUGUCGAGUCUGUAUCUCUUUUCAUGUUGUGUCUGUUGUCAGAUUUUGGUCAGGAUCGGAGUCUGUAAUUUCGUAAGGGUUUAGUAAAAAUACAUUAAAGUACAUUUCACCUUUAUUUUUCGGAAUAUAUAAUCAGUUAGUCUUAAAUCCAUCAGCACAAUAUAUCAAAACCUCAGUUAAAUUCCACCCGGAUGAACAACCACCAAGGGAUGCUUUUCGUUAAGCUAUAUAUAUAUAGCCUCAGGGCUCUCCAGGACUCCAAACUGUGUACUCUCUUUAUUAUCAGGCUCCCACUCUCCAGGACUCCAAACUGUGUACUGCCGACAUGGCUUUGGCAACAAGUCCCUCACCAAUUCCCACUCCCCAAGAUGAUGAUGUGCUAGCUUUGUUCUACGUGUUAGCUUUGGUCUUCCUGGCCGUGGUGGCCAUAUUCCUCUUGCAUUUACUGGGUCCGCUACGCCGGUGGUUGAGCAAGGGUCUCCUCCAUCACAUCGUGAUGGGAGUCUACGCGCUCUCCUACCCGCUGGUAGGCUACACCAUUGGGCUGAUGCAGUCUGCCAAUUGGUACUUCAACGACUUCACCGUGUGGGCUGUGUUCCUGCUUCUGCUCCUCAGCAGCACGGAUAGCCUCACAGCUUGCCGCCUCAACGACAUCGACAACUGGAAGAACAUCUACGUGAAACAACUCUUUAAGGGGUUCUUGUUGGUGUUUAUCAUUCUAAAGUUUGGCCGUCAGAUGAUGAUGAGGAAUUUGGAUGCCGACUACCUGUGGUACCCGCUCUCAGCCAUCCUGGUCGUUAUCGUCCUCAAGUCAUAUCUGAUGAUAGCUUCCAUGAGGAUGGUGAGCAAGUCUUACCUCGGUAAGAACGUGAAGGUGAUCGCCGAAUACAUGCAGCAUAUAGACAACAGGCUGGUGGUCUUCAAUCCUGUGACCAUGGAAGGCUACCAGUACAUGGUCGCUGGUGAGAAACACUGCGUUAACAGGCCUGGACACACACCAUGGUACAAGAAGCCGGACGACUUGAAGGUUACCACCGUGGAGCAGAUCUGGCAGUGCGAGGGGAAUCUGCUCAUUGGUGAUCAGGGCAAGGUGCUCAAGGACUUGUGCCUCUCUAUGGCUCUCUCCAAGAUGCUCAACCGAAGGUUUGCUGGCUUCAAGCUCUCAGAGGCAGAGCUUGAGAAAACCCACGACUUCGUAUUCAAAGGCCUGCUCGCCGGGGACGAGCAGCGGGCCUUCAGGGUCAUUGAGGAAGAACUUGUUUUUGUCCAUGACAUGUAUUACACAAGGUACUCUUACCUCUACCAAAAGGGUCGAUACCUGGCUCUCUGUCUGCCUGUCAUCAUGUUUGCCCUAUGCUCGUGGCUCACAGUGGCCAGCCUGCACGUCAAGCAUCACGACGACCCCUAUCUCAGUAAUCAUAGCAAUCGCAGUCUGAUGUCUGGCACCAUAGUCAUAACGGUUGUCUUGGCAUUCCUGGAGGCAUACCAGCUGUACCUGUACAUAGCCUCAGGUUGGUUCAAGGUGGCACUGAUACGGAGCUAUGUCGCCGCACCUUUUUUGCAAACAAGCUGUUUCUAUGAGAUGAUCAUACAUCUUCUCUUGAUGUUGAAGGUGUUUCGCCCAUGGAAGGGCAGACUUGGGCAGUACUGUUUCCUCGAGAAUCUUGGCCGCAAAAGUAAGGUUGUGAAUUGUCUCCAUUAUGGUACACUGUGCUUGGUGGACAAGGCCAUGAAGGGAAGCAAGAAAUCAGUGAAGGUCUCCGAAGAUGUGAAGAAAGCCAUCAUUGAUUCCCUACUAGCAAGCAACGGACACCUGACGAACGGGGUAACAUCGCUGCAAAAAAAUGGCGUCCAUGAUGACCUCAAAUGGGCAUGUGAUGCUACUGCUACUGACGGAGCGUUGGCUCGCACCAUUGUGGUCUGGCACAUUGCUACAACCCAGUGCGAGCAGAAGCUGGAUAAACAAGUCAAAGAAGAAGACGCUGUCAAAACAGCCUCCACUUUAUCCAAGUACUGCAUGCACCUCCUUGCUUUCGCACCUAACCUCUUGCCCGACCACAGCUCCAUAUCGGAAUCCAUACUUGAUUAGUCAAUCCACGAAGCAAGCAAGUUACUCAAAGAGGCCAAGGACAAGAAGAUCAAGGGCAAGAACAAGAAGAUCGAGGGCAGGUGUGAGAUACUAAUGCAAAUUAGCACUGAUGAUGAUUGUGUUGAUGAUGAAACAAUUCUUGUUGCGCGGGGCGUUCACCUUGCAAGGCAACUGAUUGAUAACAUACAAGACUUCACAACACGGUGGAAGGUGCUAUCUGAUUUCUGGGCGGAGAUGAUGCUGUAUGUCUCGCCAUCCGACGAUGCUCGGGAGCACCUGGAAGUUCUUGCAAUAGGAGGGGAGUUCAUCACGCACCUUUGGGCGCUGCUCACGCAUGCCGGUGUGCUGAAGCGAGGACCUACAGUGCCAAAGGAUGGUUUGUGACCUCUUUAACAAGUACACACGUAGCAGUCAUUAUAUCUAUCUAGUGCUUGUAACAUUCUAUGUAUGUUGGCACACCAUGUGUGAGUUAGUCUGUCGAGUCUGUAUCUCUUUUCAUGUCGAGUUAGUUUGUCGAGUCUGUAUCUCUUUUCAUGUCGUGUCCGUUGUCAGAUUUUGGGCAGAGUCAGAUCUGGUAAUUUCCGCAAGUUUCCUUAAGAAGAGCGUGUGUUCAGGUUGUUGGACGUGCGCGCGUCUAAGGUGGCCAUUACAGUCGCAAUCUGUUCCAUCGACCACUUGGGCACUCUCUCUCAGUUGCGUCUGUUCGUCUGUCAAUUGAGCAGGUCCUGUUGCAGCAGAGAUUGACCCUGCUACUACAGAAGGGGCGGGGAUCCCCUCCUGAGGAUUCCAGCUCUUUAGGGAGGGGUUCAACCUUGAGGAAGAUGCCAUAGUAGGAAUUCUUGCAUUCAUGUUCGUAACAAUACUGAGUGUUAUGGAAAAAUAUGGUCUUCUUCCUCUUCCCUCUUUGGGGAAGGGAAGCCUUUAUUCUUCGCGGAGUGUAUUGGGGAUAUAGGACUGAAAGCAGUGAUCAAGGACACGACUUGCCUUCUUGGUCUUGCUCCUGCUGUUCAUACUCCUCGAAGGCUUGAUCUUCAAAUCCCUCGAACUGCUGAACGUCUACACGCAUCAGACAAGCACAUACAAGCAAACAAGGGCAUAAAGUAAGAAAACAAUACACCAAUCAAAAUUAAACAGAGAAAACAAGCUUGUAAAAUUGAUCUACGCUUUAAAAACGAACAUGUAGAUAUAAAGAAUGCGAAAAAAGGAGUUAAGAUGCAAAAGAUAUAAUUAAAAUAAGAUCCAGGGGUUUUUCUGCGAGAAUUCAAAACUUUUAGGGUCAAACUGCGAAAAAUUGAGGACUUAUACAUAAUUACGUGUAUAAACUGAAGGUUUAAUGUGCAAAAACGCAACUUAGGAUGGCAGGUUGAUUUUAGAGAAACUCAGGGUCGAAACCGAAAUAAAAUAGGACCAAAACACAAAUGCUUUUGAACUGGAUUGGACUGCGGGUUGAUUUGCAGAAAAGGUGAGGGCUUAAGUGCAAAAGAGGCGCGACGCGGCGCGGUUGACUAGUACGCGAUCUAGUUGACCCGCUGUGGGCCGUCGGAUUUGGAUCCGACGGUCAUGGUCGUCGGCGACACUGAAGCGGUGGCAGAAAAAGGUGGCGGACGGCGACGAGCGGCGGCGCUUUGCCGGAGUUGGCCGAAACAGCGCUCCGGGGUUCGGUUUCGCGCGCGGAUUGCACGAGAUGGAUGCGGGGAACACGACGAACUCAUUUAGGGCUUUGGCGGGGGUUGCGGUGCGACGGAGCUCACUUUUUGGCGGCGGCUUGCGGCGGUGCUGCUAGGGUUUGGAGGGGCGAUGGCUGGGUGCUUGAGGCCGGGGGGGGUGCGGCGGCUUAAAUAGGGGCGUAUGGCGGCGGGAUACGGAUAGGAGAUGGACUCCGCGCGGAGGAAGCGCGCGGCGGUUGCGGGAGGUGGGCGGAGUCCGGGCGCGGUCGGGGAGAAGUCCCGGCCGGGUACGCCUGCCCCACCCGUCAGACCGGUGGAAGGGAGCGGGUCGGCGCUGCUUCGCGGGCCGUGGAGGAAAGGAGAUGGGCCGGUGAGGGAGAAACGUGGCGUGGGCCGGAGGAGCUGAGGGGAGGCGGGGCCGAAAAGGGAGGGAGGUCGGUAUGCUGGCCAGGCCGGCAGAACGGGCCGAGCAAACGAGACGGGCCGACAAGUGAAGGUGGAGCUGGUGGCGCUGGGCCGCAAGGAGUUGGAGCCGGGCUGAAAGAAAAAGGAGGAGGAGAAAGAAUGCAGCCCAAGAGGGGACAGUAAAAGAAAAGAAGAAAAGGAAAAGUUUUGGAAAUUGAAUUUGAGAUUUUGAAUUGGAAUUUGGAUCAAAUACAAUCAACCAAAAAUUAUGCACCAGCAUGAAUGUACAACAAACUCCUAUGAUGAAUUAAUUUAAUUUAGAGAAAAUGAAAAUUAAUAUGCCUAAGAAUUUAAAUGACAUCUUAAUUAAGCAAAUUUUAAUGAAUUUAAAUUAAGCAAAUUUUAAUGAAUUUAAAUUAAGCAAAUUUUAAUGAAUUUAAAUUCUUUAAAAAUUUGGUGUUACAAAUGCCAGGCUUUCGGGUCCGUGCACCCAAGUCCUAACAUGACGGAGAUUCUGGGUACCAUCCUAUGCCAAGUAGCAGAUGGUGCAAUGUCUGCUGGCAGUGGCACCGAACCUGCAGCAGAACAAAAUAUCAUCAACGACAUAUCAAUUUCCCUCUCUGACAAGAGGUACGCAACAUUGCAUCCUGUCCAUUCCCAUUCCCUUUGCGCUUGUCGAACAACCCGUUUGUGUUAUGGUACUAUCCUAAAAAUAGAACAUAUUAUGUUUGGAACGUUAGUCCAACAACCCGUGCAUCCACACAUAUUUUUAGAAAAAGCAUAGAUAAUUGAGCUUUGUGAAAGGCAUAUAAUUUAGUAAUAUUUAGAGGUGAUUAUGUUUUCUAAGUUUUUUACCAUGUUUCUUCUUCCUCCUAUGAUUAUGUGAAAGGUUUUAUGGAGUACUCAACAAAGUUUGCUAGUCCAUUAACCACGCUUUUGCACGGGAUAUAAAUUUUAAAAGAUUCAUAAGUAUUAAAAGCUCAUGGAUAGUUAAUCCGAAGUCUACGAGUAAUUGAGAAAUUGCUUAUCUUUGCUUUGUCUCCUAUUUAUUUAAUUUUUUUAAAACAAUAUAUACCCAUAUAGGUAUUUUCUUAUAAUCUUGUAUGUUGGUGAUUGGUGUUGAUUAAAAAUUACUUUAUAUGCCUUUUAAUUCACAUUCAUAGUCUUUUCAACUUUAGAUGAAACAUUAGUGAAGGACUGAGAUGGGCGACUGGGGGUGAAUAGGAGCCUCCAAUAAUUCUUUUAAAUAAUAAGGCCUAUAUCCCAAUUGCCACCCAAAACGCAUCUCGCUUCUAAUCAUCAAGAUGACACUAGUCAACUCGUGACAAUUUCAUCUUAGGAACGAUUAGAAACACUCGAAAGCGUAGCGGAAGCAAAGAAAAGCAAAACUUCGAAAAGUUUGCACGAGAUAUUGAUCUCAAACACUACCAAAUCAUUACUUGACUAAGCAUGCUUGAAAUAAUUAAUUAAGAAUUAAGCAUGAUUAACAAAGUGACAAAACUACUGAACAAGUAGCUAAUAAACAAGGUAGCACAGAUUAACUAGUAAUAAUUAACUAGCUCAAGUGAUAAAUUAAUAAUUGCAUGAAUUAAAGAACCGAGCAACCAAAGAAAAGCAACUGGGCUGCAGCUUGCUCACCUUGCUGGGCCGCUUGCACACUGCCACGGAAGAGCUCCUAGCUGCUGUGCUGAUGGGCGAGCCUGGUGCUGCACGGACCGGUGUGCUGGGCCGCCUGGCUCCGGCCUGCUACGUUGACAGGUCUGGAUCGCUCGAGCCUAGCCACGGCCUACUGGACUGCUCGGCCGCGCGGCUCCCUCCGGCGUGGCUGGGCUGCCUGGCCACCCGCGCUGGGCCGCCUGCCUGGUCAGCUGCUGCGCAGGCCAGGAAUUUUUUUAUUUUUAUAUUAUAAUAAAUAGUCGAAUAAAAAAUUUGUAAAAAUAGACGUUCGCUGCCGGAUCAAAUGGUGGUAAGAUCGCUUUUGCCGUAUGAAACGGAGGAAGGGUACCGGCCGCCACGUGCUGCCCUCCCUCGCCGGCUGAAAUGGUGGUAAGGACUCUUCCGCCAUUUCAACCAGUGAGGCAGCCCGGGUUGGCGACCUAUAGCCGGUUGAAACGGCUAUAACGACCCCUUCAGUUAUUUUCCCUUCAUUUUUCUGACUUUUAUCAAUUAUUUUUCCUUUAUUGUUUUAUUAUUUCAAUUAUAUAGUUGUAUCGCAAUACUUAACUUAGUAAUUUGAGGUUAUACCUCUAUCUUGAAUAUUGUUCCUUUAAAUUUUUAUAUGACAUUUUUUUAGAGAGGUAGAGUGAUUGCACGAAAUCAUUGAAAAUCAUGAAAUUCCGGCCUACGUAAAGUAGUCUGUGGAUACAAUUGUACAAUCAUGCGCGUUACAAUUGUACACAUGAUAGCUUGUACCGGCGUACAAAAGAUAAAAGAGGUCCUACAUACUAAAUGUGUUCUCGCUUGAAACGAAGCUGCCACCUCCCCCUCCCCGACCACGACCACGCCUCGCUGCCCACUGCGCUGCUCUGGUCUGCUGCUGGUCGUACGUCAAGAGCUCUCGUGGGGCAACGUUGCAAGGCGGACGUCCUACUGCGGCUGCAGAUGGUGUCCCGAGCUCCUGGGUCGCGUCCUGUGUAGGAGCCUUCGGGGCCUCACGCAACUACGA